GGGCCUGUAGCUCAGCCCGGUUAGAGCGCUUCCCUGAUAAGGAAGAGGUCGAUGGUUCAAGUCCAUCCAGGCCCA
RNAcentral lists this transfer RNA (75 nucleotides) under Actinomycetota bacterium. Its description in RNAcentral is "tRNA-Ile". It matches the Rfam family "tRNA". Rfam says of the family: Transfer RNA (tRNA) molecules are approximately 80 nucleotides in length. Their secondary structure includes four short double-helical elements and three loops (D, anti-codon, and T loops). Further hydrogen bonds mediate the characteristic L-shaped molecular structure. tRNAs have two regions of fundamental functional importance: the anti-codon, which is responsible for specific mRNA codon recognition, and the 3' end, to which the tRNAs corresponding amino acid is attached (by aminoacyl-tRNA synthetases). tRNAs cope with the degeneracy of the genetic code in two manners: having more than one tRNA (with a specific anti-codon) for a particular amino acid; and 'wobble' base-pairing, i.e. permitting non-standard base-pairing at the 3rd anti-codon position. Lineage: Bacteria; Bacillati; Actinomycetota. RNAcentral also lists the same sequence under 1 other name. The record is from RNAcentral.